This is a long non-coding RNA of Coregonus clupeaformis (lake whitefish), 362 nucleotides long. RefSeq lists it as uncharacterized. The transcript is spliced from 4 exons. The record is from RefSeq and is a predicted model, not a curated record. Lineage: Eukaryota; Metazoa; Chordata; Actinopteri; Salmoniformes; Salmonidae.
AUGCUGAAGGUGUCUAUCCUAGCGGUGUUGUGUUACCACUGGUUAGCACUGGUCCCCAGCAACGUCUCGUGUGAUUUCCACCAGGUGUGUUGGUGUGAAGCCGGCAGAGUUUGACGUGGCCAGGAACGUUCUAGAUCUGAUCAACGCUCAGACCCUGGCCUGGAUAGGGGUGUACUUCUCUCCUCUCCUCCCUGUCAUUCAGCUCAUCAAACUCUUCCUAAUCUUCCAGCUAAAGAAGACCAGUAUAAGAAGCUGCCAUCCUCCCAGCUCCUGGAGGAGGGUGGGUCAGAUGCAGACGCUCUUCAUCUCCCUCCUCUUCCUCCCGUUUUACCUUGGGACUCUGGCCCUGCUGGCAUACACAC